This 520-nucleotide ribosomal RNA is filed under the name uncultured bacterium. Its description in RNAcentral is "bacterial SSU rRNA". It matches the Rfam family "Bacterial small subunit ribosomal RNA", at positions 120 to 674 of the family's 1533-position model. The record is from RNAcentral.
GGGAACGUGCCUUUAGGUUCGGAAUAACUCAGGGAAACUUGUGCUAAUACCGAAUGUGCCCUUCGGGGGAAAGAUUUAUCGCCUUUAGAGCGGCCCGCGUCUGAUUAGCUAGUUGGUGAGGUAAAGGCUCACCAAGGCGACGAUCAGUAGCUGGUCUGAGAGGAUGAUCAGCCACAUUGGGACUGAGACACGGCCCAAACUCCUACGGGAGGCAGCAGUGGGGAAUCUUGCGCAAUGGGCGAAAGCCUGACGCAGCCAUGCCGCGUGAAUGAUGAAGGUCUUAGGAUUGUAAAAUUCUUUCACCGGGGACGAUAAUGACGGUACCCGGAGAAGAAGCCCCGGCUAACUUCGUGCCAGCAGCCGCGGUAAUACGAAGGGGGCUAGCGUUGCUCGGAAUUACUGGGCGUAAAGGGAGCGUAGGCGGACAUUUAAGUCAGGGGUGAAAUCCCGGGGCUCAACCUCGGAAUUGCCUUUGAUACUGGGUGUCUUGAGUAUGAGAGAGGUGUGUGGAACUUCGAGU